AUUGAACGCUGGCGGCAGGCCUAACACAUGCAAGUCGAGCGAGCGGCGGACGGGUGAGUAAUGUCUGGGUAACUGCCUGAUGGAGGGGGAUAACUACUGGAAACGGUAGUCAAUACCGCAUAACAUCAGAUGUGCCCAGAUUGGGUUAGCUAGUAGGUGGGGUAAUGGCUCACCUAGGCGACGAUCCCUAGCUGGUCUGAGAGGAUGACCAGUCACACUGGAACUGAGACACGGUCCAGACUCCUACGGGAGGCAGCAGUGGGGAAUAUUGCACAAUGGGCGAAAGCCUGAUGCAGCCAUGCCGCGUGUGUGAAGAAGGCCUUCGGGUUGUAAAGCACUUUCAGCGGGGAGGCGUUACCCGCAGAAGAAGCACCGGCUAACUCCGUGCCAGCAGCCGCGGUAAUUC
Molecule: ribosomal RNA, 406 nt
Filed under: uncultured bacterium
Lineage: Bacteria
Description: partial 16S ribosomal RNA
Rfam family: Bacterial small subunit ribosomal RNA
Source: RNAcentral